GUCAGGCGCGGUGGUGCGCGCCUGUAGUCCUAGCUACUCGGGAGGCUGAGGCAGGAGAAUCGCUUGAGUCCAGGAGUUCUGGGCUGCAGUACACUAUGCCGAUAGGGUGUCCACACUAAGUUCGGCAUCAAUAUGGUGACCUCCCGGGAGUGGGGGACCACCAGGUUGCCUAAGGAGGGGUGAACCAGCCCAGGUCGGAGAAGGACAUCACAUAUCACUUAUGUGUAUUCCUGUCCCCCAAAGCACAACCUA
Molecule: small RNA, 252 nt
Filed under: Castor canadensis (American beaver)
Lineage: Eukaryota; Metazoa; Chordata; Mammalia; Rodentia; Castoridae
Description: Metazoan signal recognition particle RNA (ENSCCNG00000010351.1)
Rfam family: Metazoan signal recognition particle RNA
About the family: The signal recognition particle (SRP) is a universally conserved ribonucleoprotein. It is involved in the co-translational targeting of proteins to membranes.
Source: RNAcentral